ACAUGAUGUUAUCGUUGACCA
RNAcentral lists this non-coding RNA (21 nucleotides) under Arabidopsis thaliana (thale cress). The record is from RNAcentral. Lineage: Eukaryota; Viridiplantae; Streptophyta; Magnoliopsida; Brassicales; Brassicaceae.